Camelus dromedarius (Arabian camel) is the source of this 1672-nucleotide long non-coding RNA. NCBI's taxonomy places the organism in Eukaryota, Metazoa, Chordata, Mammalia, Artiodactyla, Camelidae. The record is from Ensembl.
GGCCAUGUCCUACAUCCUGGGAACCUGGCUGCUCCAGUACCCAGAUGAUUUCCACCAGCCUCCAGAAUUUCCAUGCUUUAAGACAGUGCUCACUUACAUAUAGCUGAGCAUGCCUGGCUCUGACCUGAAGCAGCAGGCCCACCUCCUCCUGGCACAGCUGGAGCAAGUGGAACUCCCAGAGGCAAAGAGUGAUGGUGAGCAGGAUGCAGGCACCUGCUGCAAAACCCACUGGGGAAACCCCUCUGGAUGGAGAGCCAGCUCCAGCUCUCCUGCCUGCGACAGCACCAGAGCCAGAGCAGAACGAUGUGCUGUAUCAGUCAGGCUGUUUCCUGCCCUCAUCUUCAGUGCCGGGAUGCCUACACUCCUGAGGUGUCCUGUGACACAUCGACCUCCUUUCCCUUGUCUGCUGUGGACCCACAACACAGCUCAGGGGCUUCAUCAACACUCCCUGACACCUUGCCCUUGGGAAAUGCCCUGUCAUGUCAUGAUCAAGACAAGGACUUCAAGUAGAAGGUACACUCAAGACUUCGAUUUUAUGGAAUUUGGUUUCUCCUAACAGCAAGACUGACGUUGAGAUGCUUUCUCUGCCACAUCUACUGUGAGAAUGAAGACAAUUCUCAGCAAUCAGACUAUCGACAUUCCAGAAAAUCACUUUGAAGGGACUCACAGUAAUUGUGAAGGGCCCCAGAGGCACCCUGCGGAGGGACUUCAAUCACAUCAAUGUAGAACUCAGUCUCCUUGGAAAGAAAAAGAGGCUCCAGGUUGACAAGUGGUGGGGAAAUAGAAAAGAACUGGCUACUGUUCACAAUAUCUGUAGUCAUGUACAGAACACGAUGAAGGGUGUUACACUGGGCUUCCAUUACAAGAUGAGGUCUGUGUAUGCUCACUUCCCCAUCAAUGUCAUUAUUCAGGAGAAUGGUUCGCUUAUUGAAAUUCAAAAUUUCUUGGGUGAAAAAUGCAUUUGCAGGGCUCGGAUGAGGCCAGGUGUUGCUUGUUCAGUAUCUCAAGCUCAGAAAGAUGAGUUAGUUCUUGAGGGAAAUGACAUUGAACUGGUAUCAAAUUCAGCUGCUUUGAUUCAGCAAGCCACAACAGUUAAAAACAAGGAUAUCAGAAAAUUUUUGGAUGGUAUCUAUGUUUCUGAAAAAAGAACAGUUCAGCAGGCUGAUGAAUAAUAUCGAAGUUGUCUGGGUACAGAAAGAGCAAGAUGCCAGAUGACUCCUCAGAUUCAGUUGUAAUAUCUUAAGGAUACAAUAAAAGCUGUGUUGAUUGGGAAAAAAAAAAAAGGUUGAUGUUGUGUGUGUGUGAAUGUUACCUGUUUGUCUGACAUCCCAUGGAGACAGCAGCACACAUGCCAUUCCUCAUAGCCACCAGAGGGAGGUGUAUAACUGUUUAUGACAAACACUCUGCUCCAUUCAAAAGUGGCCCUUUCCAAUUUAGCCUUCAUCAGAACGUGUUUUAUAAACUGAGGAUUUCUUUAAGGUAUAUAGAUUGCUUUUCUUCUUUAAUCUCAUUUCAGAUCUAAUGUAAAUACACUACAAUUCACAAAUAUAGUUGAGCCACUGAGUGCAAGUUGUCCCUUGUGACAGAUAGACAUGUAUAAUUCUGUGUCCAACCCCCAUUUGUGUCCACCUCUGUCCCUUCCUCAUUCCCUCCAACCAUCUGUAAAUAUCUA